This is an RNA transcript of Olea europaea var. sylvestris, 4208 nucleotides long. It is a transcript of the gene named probable pre-mRNA-splicing factor ATP-dependent RNA helicase DEAH5, with no coding region annotated. The transcript has 4 exons. NCBI's taxonomy places the organism in Eukaryota, Viridiplantae, Streptophyta, Magnoliopsida, Lamiales, Oleaceae. The record is from RefSeq and is a predicted model, not a curated record.
UAGAUAUACCAAGAUCGGCACAACGGCGAACGAUGUCGCCAUAAAUAAGUAUUCAAAAAUUAAUUCUCUAAACUGAAAAAUCUCAGAACUGUGCUUGAUUCUAACCCAAAUUUCAGGUACGCUAAAAAACCCUAGAUCUCGAAGGUUUCAUAUUUAUAUACUGAUUUAGUUCGUACAUAUAUAACUUGCGUGUGUUUGAGCGAGAGAGAAAGAUGGGGACAGAAAUUGAACAAAUUAAGGACGAUGGAUUGAAGGAAGGGGCAGGAAUUAAGCAAAGAAAAGACGAUGGAUUGAAGAAACUCGAAUACUUAUCCUUAGUUUCGAAGGUUUGCACCGAACUCGAGACCCAUCUUGGGUUUGGAGAUAAGGUUUUAGCGGAAUUUAUUACCGAGAUGGGUCGAAAAUGCGAAACAGUGGAUGAUUUUGAUGCUAAAUUGAAACAGAAUGGGGCGGAGAUGCCUGAUUAUUUUGUUAGAACUCUGCUUACGAUUAUUCACGCUAUUUUGCCACCGAAAAAGAAAGAGAAAUCGGAAAUUGGCUCAAAGGAGGGGGAGAAAUCGGGGUUUUCAGCCCUGAAAAUUAAGGACAGCAGGGAUAGGGUGAAGGAACUGGAGAGGGAGAUUGAAGAGGAAGCUAGGAAGCAGAUCCAUGGAGAGGAAAAAGAAGAGGGAAAGCAUAGGGACAGCCAUCGAGAUAGAAGAGAGAGGAGAAGGGACAGAGACAGAGACAGAGACAGAGACAGAGACAGAGAAAGAGAAAGAGAAAGAGAUAGAGAUAGGGGUAGAUACGAGGACAGGGAUGGUUACGGUGAUUAUAAUGAUAGAGGAAGGGACAGGGACAGGGACAGGGACAGGGGUAGAUAUGAGAGGAGCAAAAAGGAUGGAUAUGAGGAAGGGAGGGAGGAUGAGAGGAAGGAAAGGAGGAAAGAAAGUUAUAGUGGAUCGAAUGAACCCGAAUUGUACACGGUAUAUAAGGGGAGAGUUUCAAGGGUGAUGGAUACAGGCUGCUUUGUUCAACUUGAUGAAUUAAAAGGGAAGGAGGGUUUGGUACAUGUAUCCCAGAUUGCAACUAGGAGGAUUACAAAUGCCAAGGAUGUGGUGAAGCGAGACCAGGAGGUCUAUGUAAAGGUGAUCUCAGUCAGUGGGAAUAAAUUGAGUUUGUCAAUGAGGGAUGUGGAUCAGAAUAGUGGAAAGGAUUUAUUGCCGUUGAAGAGGAGUGGGGAGGACGAAGGGUUGAGAACGAAUCCUUCUGGUGGCAAUGGUGGGGGUACAGGGAGUAGGAUUGGUAUUUCAGGGAUUAAGAUUACGGAGGAGAAUGACAUUGUUCCAUCGCGACGUCCAUUGAAGAGGAUGAGCUCGCCUGAGAGAUGGGAGGCAAAGCAGCUGAUUGCUUCAGGUGUUAUGAGUGUGAAGGAGUAUCCGAUGUAUGAUGAAGAUGGGGAUGGAAUGCUCUAUCAGGAAGAAGGUGGUGCAGAAGAGGAGCUUGAGAUUGAAUUGAAUGAGGAUGAGCCGGCUUUCUUAAAUGGCCAGACUCGUUAUUCUGUCGAUAUGUCUCCUGUGAAGAUAUUCAAGAAUCCUGAGGGGUCUUUGAGUCGUGCGGCAGCACUUCAGUCUGCUCUGAUAAAGGAGAGGAGAGAAGUGAGAGAACAACAACAAAGAACAAUGCUGGAUUCGAUUCCGAAGGAUUUGAAUCGGCCUUGGGAAGACCCAAUGCCAGAGACUGGUGAGCGGCAUCUUGCUCAGGAGCUAAGGGGUGUUGGUUUGUCUGCAUAUGAUAUGCCAGAGUGGAAGAAGGAUGCAUAUGGUAAAGCCCUUACUUUUGGCCAACGAUCAAAGCUGUCCAUUCAGGAACAGAGGCAGAGCCUGCCAAUAUACAAGUUGAAGAAUGAACUAGUUCAAGCUGUUCAUGAAAAUCAAGUUCUAGUUGUCAUUGGUGAGACAGGUUCUGGAAAGACUACUCAGGUUACCCAGUAUCUAGCUGAGGCAGGGUACACAGCUAAAGGCAAAAUUGGAUGCACUCAACCUCGUAGAGUGGCUGCAAUGUCUGUUGCUAAGAGAGUUGCUGAGGAAUUUGGUUGUCGUUUAGGGGAAGAAGUUGGAUAUGCUAUUCGUUUUGAGGAUUGUACAGGGCCAGAGACUGUUAUCAAGUAUAUGACUGAUGGUAUGCUUCUCAGGGAAAUUCUGAUUGAUGAGAAUUUGACACAGUAUUCAGUGAUAAUGCUUGAUGAAGCUCAUGAGAGGACAAUUCACACUGAUGUUCUUUUUGGACUGCUAAAAAAACUUGUGAAACGGAGACCUGACCUCCGUCUGAUUGUUACGUCUGCAACGUUGGAUGCGGAGAAAUUUUCUGGCUAUUUCUUCAACUGCAACAUCUUCACCAUUCCUGGUAGAACUUUCCCUGUAGAAAUAUUGUACACCAAGCAGCCGGAGAGUGACUACCUUGAUGCAUCUCUUAUCACUGUCAUGCAGAUUCACUUGACAGAACCAGAAGGCGACAUCCUUCUCUUCUUGACUGGUCAAGAGGAGAUCGAUUAUGCAUGUCAAUGUCUCUAUGAAAGGAUGAAAGGUCUAGGCAAAAAUGUUCCUGAGCUGAUUAUCUUACCAGUGUACAGUGCCCUUCCCAGCGAAAUGCAAUCCAGAAUAUUUGAUCCUGCUCCUCCAGGGAAGAGAAAAGUAGUUGUUGCUACUAACAUUGCUGAAGCUUCUUUGACCAUUGAUGGUAUUUUUUAUGUUAUCGAUCCAGGGUUUGCAAAGCAAAAUGUCUACAAUCCUAAACAGGGACUUGAUUCACUGGUGAUUACUCCGAUAUCUCAAGCAUCAGCCAAGCAAAGAGCUGGGCGAGCAGGACGCACAGGGCCUGGAAAGUGCUAUCGCCUCUAUACUGAGAGUGCUUUCCAUAAUGAAAUGUCUCCCACCUCGAUUCCAGAGAUCCAGAGGAUCAAUCUUGGGAUGACUACCCUUACUAUGAAAGCUAUGGGUAUCAACGAUCUGUUAUCUUUUGACUUUAUGGACCCACCUUCUCCUCAAGCUCUCAUUUCUGCCAUGGAACAGCUGUACAGUUUAGGAGCUCUAGAUGAAGAGGGGCUUCUGACUAAGUUGGGUAGGAAAAUGGCUGAAUUUCCAUUGGAACCUCCACUAUCUAAGAUGCUUCUUGCCAGUGUAGAUCUCGGUUGUAGUGAUGAGAUUUUGACUAUGAUUGCAAUGAUUCAGACAGGAAACAUCUUUUACCGACCUAGGGAAAAACAAGCUCAAGCAGAUCAAAAAAGGGCAAAAUUUUUCCAGCCCGAGGGAGAUCAUCUGACACUACUUGCUGUUUAUGAGGCAUGGAAAGCAAAAAAUUUCUCGGGACCAUGGUGCUUUGAAAACUUUGUCCAGUCUCGAUCAUUGAGGAGGGCACAGGAUGUCAGGAAACAACUUCUCUCAAUCAUGGACAAGUACAAAUUGGACGUUGUCUCUGCUGGAAAAAUUUUUACAAAGAUAAGGAAGGCUAUUGCAGCAGGGUUCUUUUUCCAUGCAGCGAGGAAGGAUCCACAAGAAGGUUAUAGAACACUUGUUGAGAAUCAGCCAGUCUAUAUACAUCCAAGCAGUGCUCUCUUUCAAAGACAACCAGACUGGGUUAUUUACCAUGAGCUGGUUAUGACUACGAAGGAGUAUAUGCGUGAGGUCACAGUCGUAGAUCCCAAGUGGCUUGUUGAACUGGCACCAAGAUUCUUCAAGGUGGCAGAUCCUACAAAAAUGAGCAAGCGCAAGAGACAAGAGCGCAUUGAACCCCUAUAUGACAGAUACCACGAACCUAAUUCUUGGCGUUUGAGUAAACGGAGGGCUUAACAGCAUUCUGGACGGAAUCUGUCAGUUGGACUGCGGUUGUCUUUAAAUUGAAAGGUUUGGGACUGCGGCCUCAAAAAUGAAAGGUUAAGGUAUACUCUACAACAAAAUGAAAGGCGCUUGGGAUUUUUGUUGGAUUUCUGAUCUUUCGCAGCUUUUGAGCUGUUAUUGAAGGACUGCCUAGUUCUUUGAGGAGACGAGAGAUGGACCGGCUCCACUUGCUUCUUAGACACCGUCUUUUUUUAAUUGCCUAGUGUGCUCUGUUGAAUAAAGAUGUUGCAGUAAAUUAUUAUGUACCAAGAGAUGGCAAGAUGGACGGAUUAGAUCACAAGGAUUAUAACUAAUAAAUUCCAUAUCGUUUCAAAUUUUUCGGCCACAUCGUCA